AGGCCCCAUGCUGCCUCACAGCUUUCAAAACCUUCAUUUUCUUGGGAAAUGCUAAAAAGCUUUCCCCUACCAUACAUACUAGAUUCAGACACACUGCCAUCUACUGACCCACCAAAGGAUGUGCCAGCACAAGACAUCCUGACCUUCAAGGGAGGGAGGAACACCUUGAGAGGAGUUGAGAUCCUGCUUUCUCUUCAGAAUGCCAUCUCUAGGAUGCCAAUGGGCUGUGUCUACAGUACUAUGUAGGAAAGUGCUGCAAGAGAAAUCAUAAACACCUCUAAAACACAUGUAUACUGGUGGUGUUAGUCAACUUAUAUCACUGUCUGUGAAGACGAUGCAGCAAAUUCAAUGAAAGUUGUAUACAUCAUGGAAAAGUUUGAAUUGCAUGAAGAAAAGAAGCUGACGGAAGUUCUUUCUGUCACCUCUCUGAAGACCUGGUUCAUAUCUGCAGCUGCAACUCUAUCCCUGAACUCAUCUUUGAAACUACCCAGAGAUAGACUGUCAAGAGCUUCAGAGCUUUACAACAGGAUCUUCCAAGUGCCCUGAGAGGUCCGCGUCACCUUUAGGAGCUGUAACACUCACCGCGAAGGUCUGCAGCUUCACUCCUGAAGCCAGCGAGACCACGAACGCACCGGGAGGGAUGAACAACUCCGGACGGGAGGAACGAACAACUCCAGACGCGCCAUCUUAAGAGCUGUAACGCUCACUGCGAAGGUCUGCAGCUUCACUCCUGAAGCCAGCAAGACCACGAACCCACCAGAAGGAAGAAACUCUGAACACAUCUGAACAUCAGAAGGAACAAACUCCAGACACGCCACCUUUAAGAACUGUAACACUCACCGCGAGGGUCCGCAGCUUCGUUCUUGAAAUCAGUGAGAUGAAGAACCCACCAAUUCCAGACACAGUAACACCAGUUAUCACUGAUUGCAGUUCAUCAUAACAGAUAUAAUAAUAAUUUAAAAGUUUGAAAUAUUAUGAAAAUUACCAAAAUGUAACACAGACACAUGAAGCAUUGGAAAAAUGGCACCAAUAGUGUUGUUUGAUGUAGCAUUACCAUAAAUCUUAGAUUUGUAAAUAACAAAGUAUUUGUGAAGCACAGUAAAGCAAAGCACAAUAAAAAUGACGUGUGCUUGUAUUUUAAAAGAACAGAUUGAAUUGGGAAGGGUAGUUGAGGAACUGGAAGCAGAGAGAACAGGUACAAGAUUCACGUAGUAGUCCAAGAAAAUUAAAGCAAGUAGAAAAACUAACAGAAGUUCAGGAUAAAAGAUUUUGAGGCCUUAACUACACAUUUCCAGAAGGAAUGGAAAAAGGUCAGAAAUGAGAAUGUGGAAAUAUCCUCAGCUGAUUUGACUGUAAGUAGAAAGUGUUGGCAUAAAAAAAAUGGACGAAGCCAAAAAACUCAUGGAAUGAUGAAUAAUUAAAUAAAUUGAGGUCUCCUUAUCAAAAACAAAAAUGAAGACAUGUAGAUAGAAAUUUAUAUGUCUUUACUCUGUAAAGCUGGGAGAAUACCCAGAAGGUAUUUAGGAAGUAUGUGAUAAAAAUUUAAGAUUGGAGUUAAUGAACCAGAGAUAGGCAUGAGACACAUAAUAGGUAAUAAUACAGGUUAGCUGGUAAGAUCUUUGGAGCACAGCAAGCUUGGAUUUGAGUUAGUAAUAAUAAUUAUGCACUGCACAUUUUAGCCUUUAUAAUUUUUCACUGGUUCUUCCACUUAAUAGGCAUCUUUUAACAUCUAUUAAGUGUAGGAAAAUACUAAGAGCUGGAGAUACAGCAGUAAUAAAUAAAGUUUAUUUAAGUAAGUGUAAAGUUAAUAAAACACAGUCCCUAAUCUCAUUACUCUUACACUGAGAGAUUUUCACAUUCAAAAUUUACUGAGCACCUAUUGGGUACAGAGGACUUGGAUGGGCAAAUGAAUACAAUAUGUCUCUUGCUGUGUUGUUGGAACAAGUGGAAUGCUGGGGACAUCCAAAGAAAGGAGACCACAUGGAGGAGGUGAUAUUGGAUCUUGAGGGAUGAUUAAGAGUCAUCAAACAAACGACAUUUAUAUAUAUAUUAUAAUAUCAUCUCCUGUAAUCUCGCUCACACCCUGUGAGGACCAAGUAAAUAUAUUAAAGAUGUAUUUCUUAUAGAAUAUUCUGAGCAAGAUGAGAGAAAGGAUAGUAUGAUAGCCCUGUCAGUCCUUGUAUUCCUCUCCCUAAUUUCACUGUUUUGUUGAAAGUGUUUGUUUGGUUUUUUUAAUAGUUUUUAUUUUGUAUUUAGCUCUAGACAAAAGAACAGUACUAUUCCUUGAAAACAUUUAUUCUUUAGGGAUAUGA
This is a long non-coding RNA of Homo sapiens (human), 2312 nucleotides long. Ensembl annotates it as long intergenic non-protein coding RNA 2552. The record is from Ensembl. Lineage: Eukaryota; Metazoa; Chordata; Mammalia; Primates; Hominidae.